This 407-nucleotide ribosomal RNA is filed under the name uncultured bacterium. RNAcentral's name for it is "partial 16S ribosomal RNA". It matches the Rfam family "Bacterial small subunit ribosomal RNA", at positions 30 to 526 of the family's 1533-position model. The record is from RNAcentral.
AUUGAACGCUAGCGGUAUGCCUUACACAUGCAAGUCGAACGGAGUGGCGAACGGGUGAGUAAUUUAUCGGAACGUUCCCAGUAGCGGGGGAUAACUACGCGAAAGCGUAGCUCAUACCGCCUACUUUUGGCGCGGCCGAUCUCGGAGUAGCUAGUUGGGGGGGUAACGGAUCACCCAGGUGACGAUCCGUAGCUGGGUUGAGAGGACGACCAGCCACACUGGGACUUAGACACGGCCCAGACUCCUAUGGGAGGCAGCAGUGGGGAAUUUUGGACAAGUGGGGAAACCCUGAUCCAGCCAUCCCGCGUGUGCGAUGAAGGCCUUCGGGUUGGAAAGCACUUUUGGCAGGAAAGCGGUACCUGCAGAAUAAGCACCGGCUAACUACGUGCCAGCAGCCGCGGUAAUUC